CAUGCCGUAAACGGUGGGCGCUAGGUGUAGGGGUCUUCCACGACUUCUGUGCCGUAGCUAACGCAUUAAGCGCCCCGCCUGGGGAGUACGGCCGCAAGGCUAAAACUCAAAGGAAUUGACGGGGGCCCGCACAAGCGGCGGAGCAUGUGGAUUAAUUCGAUGCAACGCGAAGAACCUUACCUGGGCUUGACAUACACCGGACCGGGCCAGAGAUGGCCUUUCCCUUGGGGCUGGUGUACAGGUGG
This 245-nucleotide ribosomal RNA is filed under the name uncultured Corynebacterium sp. Its description in RNAcentral is "partial 16S ribosomal RNA". It matches the Rfam family "Bacterial small subunit ribosomal RNA", at positions 796 to 1041 of the family's 1533-position model. The record is from RNAcentral. Lineage: Bacteria; Bacillati; Actinomycetota; Actinomycetes; Mycobacteriales; Corynebacteriaceae.